This is a long non-coding RNA of Cairina moschata (Muscovy duck), 594 nucleotides long. NCBI's taxonomy places the organism in Eukaryota, Metazoa, Chordata, Aves, Anseriformes, Anatidae. The record is from Ensembl.
AUGUAUUCACCAGGGGAGGGGCGGGAUGAAAGCGCUUUUAACCUCCCCGCCAUAAACUUUAAUCGGAUUCCGAGCUGUUGCACGGCAUGGACUCCUCGCCUCUUCUCUGCAUCUCCUUCCCCGUUGUCUCCCAUUUCUACUACAGUCUGCUUUACGAGAGCCUUUUCCAAGCGAAUGAGUGAUUCCUUUCUCUUGCCAUGUGCAAUCUUUCCCCCCUCCCCUUUCUACCCUCUCUGGCCUCUCUUACACACACUAUGUCUUUCACAUGCGGUCUGUGCCCCCCAGCCCCCUCCCUUUCUUUCUCUUUUGCAGUGUCUUCGCAUGCAAUCUCUCUCUGAAUGUGCAAUGUCUUUCCUGCUCGGGAGUGCUGCGUCCUUCACAGUGGAUUGGUUCCUCUUUCGGAGCAGAGAUCACGGGAAAAGAGAAAAGCAGUCGAAUAUUGUGAUAAUACUGGAAGCCUGCAGAAGCUGGUUGAUAGGAGACUCCAUGGCUCUUAUUGUGGAUGUACCUAAUUUACUACAGUUCCAAGAAGUUCAUAAAGACAAAACUUACAAGAGGAAAUUGUUACAGAUGUUGUGUUUUGAGGAUGGCUGA